UAGACCCAAUUUCUCAAUAACUUUUCUUCUAUAUUUGCUCCAUCUUCAAUGACUUUCACUUCCGACUGAAUUCUAUCCAAAUGUCUCUAAUUGAAUACUCCUAGGAGGAAACUUUGAAUGCCACAACCAUAAAACCUCCCUCGCCGUACCCAGACUCACCAAAAUCGACCCCCAAUUUUUUGGAAAUCAUAGUUGUCGGUACCCACGGAUCUACAGUCGAAAUCGCAACCAGCGCCGGAAAUCACUACUCAAGCGGGAAAUUAAACACAUCUAGUCACGUUGUAUCAACAACCCAAAUCAAGUGACAACGAUUGACAUCUAAAAGCUUCUCUUUUAGCUCAGCCAUGACGAUCUCGAACAACGUGCGACUCUCUGAGCUCGGUUAGUGUUUUCCUUUUUUGUGAUGGAAGAGUACUUUUAACAUUUGAUUGAUGAGCUAUUAAUCGAAUUUGGGGGUUUGGGUUUUGAUUCGUUGCGAUUUAUGUAAUUAUGUGAAAAUAAGGAAUGAUUUUGAGUGGGUUUGUUAGAGAGAAAAGAAGAUUAAUGUUGUAAAUAAGAUUUUCUAUUUUGAGUGGGUUUAAGUUUUGAUUUGUUGCGAUUCACUGCUCCGUCGUCUCCGACGAUAUCGCCAGCGGGGAGCAUCAUCAAUUCAUCACCCAAGCUUUCGGCUUUUGAUGUUUGGGCUUCGAGAUUGUUAUUGAAUGAAUAAUAUAUUAACUCUUAUAAACAUAUUUAUAAGAUAGAAGUUUAGAGAUUUUUCUCUAUUUUUUAGUGUGUUUUAGAGAAGUUUGCCUUUUAUAGGCAAAGGAAAAGGACACAUAUCUAUCAACAUUAAUUAUAUCAUAGACUAGGUUAUUGGCCUAGUUUUAUAGCAAUUGAUUUGGAAGAAAAUCAUACUAUUAUAACACUCCCCUUUAAUUUUGUUAAGAUAGGAGAUUAUGUCUCGUUAAAAUCUUGUUAAGAAAAUUCAGUGGAAAAAAACUUAGCGAAGGAAAAAAGAGUACAUAUCUUCCCCUCAAAAGUUAUUCUUUGAUGAAAUGUUGUGAUAAGUCUUUUAGUCGAUGCAUUCCAAUCAUAUUUCGAAGUUUUGUAAACGUUACAUUUGGUAGUGAUUUUGUAAAUAAGUCGAUUAGAUUAUCGCAUGAUUGAAUUUAAUGCACAUCUAUAUCACCCUUCUUUUGCAGCUCAUGUGUAGAAAAUUUUUGGUGAAAUGUGUUUUGUUCCAUCUCCCUUGAUGUACCCUCCUCUAAGUUGAGCAAUGCAUGCAGCGUUAUCCUCAUACAUAACUGUAGGAAUAUCUUUGAUUGAUGGUAAUCCGCAUGACUCUUGGAUAUGCUGAAUAAUUGACCUCAACCAAACACACUCUCUACUUGCUUCAUGUAUUGCGAGAAUCUCUGAGUGAUUUGUAGAUGUAGCUGUCAUAGUUUACUUUGUGAAUUUUUAGGAUAUAGUUGUGUCACAAUAUGUAAAUAUAUAACAUGUUUGUGAUCUCCCAUUGUGUGGAUCUGAUAAAUAUCAUGCAUCAGCAUAUCCAACUAAUCGUGACGUUGAAUCUCUUAGAUAAAAUAAUCCAAGAUCUAUAUGGGUUUGAUCUCAUCCCAACGUCUCUUAGUCGGAGAAGAACUGUAUCUUGUCAACAGGUUGACAGUAAAAGUAAUAUCGGGUCGUAUAUAGUUUGCAAGAUACAUAAAAGCACCUAUUGCACUAAAGUAUGGAACUUCAGGUCCAAAAACUUCUUCCCCACUUUCUAGAGGUCGUGAUCUUUAUCAACUUCUAGAGAUCGAACAACCAUCAGGGUAGUCAAAGGGUGAGUUUUAUCCAUAUGAAAACGACUGAGAAUCUUUUCAGUAUAUGUGGAUUGAUGAACAAAAAAUUCAGAUGUUAAAUGCUCCACUUGUAUUCCUAAACAAAAUGUUGUCUUUCCAAGAUCUUUCAUUUCAAAUUCUUCUUUUAAAUAAGUGGCAGUUCUUGUGAGCUCUUCAGGAGUACUUACAAGAUUCAAAUCAUCCACAUAUACAACAAUGAUGGUAAAUUCACUUUGUGUUUUCUUAAUAAAAACACAUGGGCAUACUUGAUUAUUUGUAUACCCGUCUUUUAUUAAAUAAUUACCAAGUCGAUUAUACCACAUACUACCAGACUGAUUCAACCCAUAUAAUGAGCGUUGUAACUUGAUUGAAUAUAUGUUUCGGGGCUUUUGUGAUUCAGCCAUUUUUAAUCCUUUAGGAAUUCUCAUAUAAAUCUCACUAUCAAGUGAGCCAUAUAGGUAUGUUGUUACAACAUUCAUCAAACUUGUUUCCAAACCUUCCAUUGUUGUCAUACCUAGUAAAAAGCGAAACGUAACUCCAUCCAUUACUAGCAUGAUAAUCAAUACCAAGUCUUUGUGAAAAAUCUUGAGCUACAAGUCGGGAUUUGUAUAUCACAAUUUUGUUUUUCUCAUUUCGCUUUCGUACAAAUACCCAUUUGUUUCCAACUGGGAUUACUCCCAGAGGUGUUUAGUCUACUGGUCCAAAUACUUCUCUUUUCAAUAAUGACUGUAGCUCAGUUUGAAUAACAUCUUUUCAUUUUGACCAAUCUUUUCUUUUCUGACAUUCUUCCACGUUUUGUGAUUCAUGAUCUGUGUCAGAAAUCAUAGUAAUUUCUGAUGUUAUAGAGAAAGUAAAUAUAUCAUCAAUCAUGACUUUGCUUCGAUCUCAUAUUUUUUCAUCAUGUACAUAAUUUAUUGAGAUCUCUUGGUAUUCAUCUCUUAUCUCUUCGGUGAUAUCUUGUACCUCUUCUGGGGGUAUUCUCACUUUUGGAAUAAAUGCUACUUUUGGAGCGGGUAUGACUUCUAGAACUCCCUUAUUUGCAUUUUAUUUUUGUGGUGCAGUGUCUUUUGCACCAAUUGGUCUUCCACACUUCUAGCGUGGUUUAGAUUCUUCGGUUGCCUUAUUUUUCAAUUCUUUAGGAAUUAACUUUUGGAUAGGCAUGUCUAUCUUUGUUGGAAUAUUCACUGCAGGUGUAUGUGAUUUUAUCACUUUUCUAACAUCAUUAAAUGCAUCUGGCAUUUGAUUUGUAUUAUUUUGUAAAUAAAUAAUUCUUUGAACUUCAAUUUCAUAUUGUCUUGUGCGAGGAUCAAGUUAAUUUAAUUAUGAUGCAUUCCAUGAUAUUUCAGAGGGUUUCUUAUUUAAAAAUUUCCCUCCUCCUAACGGUGGAAAUACAGAUUCAUCAAAGUGACAAUCUGCAUAACGUGCAGCAAAAACAUCUCCAGUUAAAGGCUUAAAAUAUCUAAUAAUAGAAGAAGUAUCAAAACCAAUAUAAAUUUCAAUUCUUCGUUGGGCUCCCUUUUUAGUCCUUUGUGGAGGUGGAAUUGGAACAUAUACUACACUUUCAAAAACUCUAAUGUGUGAGAUGUUCGGUAUCUGAUCAAGUACUAACUGUAGAGGAGAAUAUUUAUGAAGAGUUGUUGGCCUCACUCGAAUGAUGGCUGCAACGUGAAGAAUUGCAUGACCCCAAACUGAGGUUGGUAAGUUAGACCUUAAUAUCAAUUGACGUGCAAUUAGUUAAAGUUUUUUUUAUUAAAGAUUCAGCUAAACCAUUUUGUGUAUGUACAUGAGGAACAUAAUGUUCAAUGGUGAUUCCAAUAGUCAUACAAAAGUUAUUAAAGGUCUUUGAUGAAAAUUCAGCAGAAUUAUCAAGUCGAAUUAACUUAAUUAGAUGAUUUGGGAACUGAUCCCGUAACUUGAUUAUUUGUGCAAGAAUUUUUUAGAAGGAAAAAUUUCGAGAGGAGAGUAGGCAAACAUAGGACCAUCUAGUUGAAGCAUUUAUUAAAAUCAUGAAAUAUCGAAAUGGGUCAGACAAUGGAUGAAUGGGUCCACAAAUGUCUACUUGGAUUCUCUUUAGGAAUUUUGGGGUUUCAUUAUAAACUUUUGUUGGUGAUGGUCGAACAAAUAAUUUUUCUUGAGAACAUGCAGCGCAAGAAAAAUCACUACUAAAAAGAACAUUAUGAUUUUUUAGAGGAUGACCAGUAGAAUUUUCAAUAAUGUGACGCGUCAUAGAUGUGCUUGGAUGACUGAAUCUUUCAUGUCAAAGCAUAAAUGAUUUGGGAUCUAUGAAUUUUGGAAUCACAACAGUACGAUACCAAAUUGCUCUAAUCUUCAUAGUAUAUAAUCCAGAAGAAAUUGAAUGAAGUUUUUCUAGGAUAUUCUUCUUUCUAGAAAUAGUAGAAGUGAUGAGAAGAUAUUCAUUAUCAUUAUCAUUUGUUGUUUUAAUGUGAAAACCAUUUAGUCGAAGAAAGAUUAUGACUUUGUUAAAUACUCAGUUUUUAAUUCUUCAUCAACGUGAUGACGAAGAAAGAUUAUGACUUGUGCAUUUUGUGCCGUAGUUGCUUUGUUUCCUGAUUCAAGGUCUUUUCUAACCCAUUUGCACUAAGGUGUUGCAUCAAGUGCCCAAGCCAAAUAGUUGUCUCUAGAGAUUUUCAAAUUUGAAAAUUCUAUUUUUUGCAAGUUUGCCAUCUAUUCUAGUUUAAAACAUAAUAAUUUUCAUUAUUUAUUAACGUAUGUAAUAAAUAAUUAGAUACAUGAUAUGGAGAAGGUAAAUGCACGUGAAUAAAAAAAAUUUGGAGGUCUCAGUGAUGUCUUCAUCGGCACAACUCAGUUUUCCCCCGAAUAAAUUCAGAGCGUGAGACCACUUCAGCAUACCUGGACUCGAACCCACGUUUGUGGAGAUUUAUGUUCGGCUUCCCACAACUAAGUCACCACCCCAAGUGAUGAUAAAUAUAUAAACAAUAUAAAUAUAUAAAUGUUUAUUUUAUUAGCACAUCUUUUUAGUCAGAAUGUAUGCAUUCACUAAUGUAUAUACAAGUAUUAUUGUACACAUCAUAAAAAAUACAUGUACAAACAUAUAAAUGGAUCUUCACCCGGCAUGCGAUUGUCCGCGUAGAUAGAUUAUUUUCACAAAUUGCUAAUAAGGAUUUAAUACGAAGGGGUAUUCACCAAGCAUGUGGUAGUCCGCGUAGUUAUGUUAUUCCCACAAAUUAAUAAAUGGUAAAAAAAAGGUUCCCACCAAGUCUUGUAAGAUCAACAAGGAUAGAUGGUACUACUGUAAAUAAAAAAAUUUAAAAAUAGACAACAAAGCAUGAAUAUAAUUUUUGUUGUUAAACACCAAACACCAAAAACUAAAAUAUCAACAUACUCAAUCACUUUAAUUAGAAAACCUCCAUUAAUUAAUAAUUUAAUUUAAAAUUUUUAAUAUUUGUAUCACUUAUCCAAAAAUACGUGUUAAUUAAAUUAAAUUAUUUGAAUGAGAUAGUCUUAAUUACAAAUAAAAUUAUAAUUAAAAUGUAUUAUAUUAAAAAUGAUAAUUAAACAUAUAUUUAUAUAUAUUAUUCAUGAAUUAAAAUUUGAUAACAUACAAGAGUAAAUAUGUAAUUUUACCUAGUUAAUCAACCCUAAAAACUUGCAGGGGUAUUAACUGUUAUUUAAAAAAUAAGAGGUGAAGUGAGUGUUAUUAUGAUUAUCUAGAGGAGGUGUCACUAUAUUUUACACAUAAAAAAAAUAAACUGUUGGAAUAUUUCAUGUUUUUAGCAACCUAAGAGACCAAAGGAUAUAAUAUAUUAUAUAUCAAAGAUAUAGUAUCCUAGUCAAACCAAAAUAACUUAAUUAAAGGAAUGAGAAAUAUACCUGAUAAAGUUUGAUCUUAUUCCAAUGACUAGUCAACAUGCAUAUCAAAACAGUUUCCUCGUAAGACUCCUUUUUAUAUUAUAUUACACAUUGUUAUAAAAGAAAUCUUUUCAGCAAUCCUAGAUUUAAUAGGAAGUAUCCAAUAAACUAUAACUCUAAAGUGAGCUAAUACAUCAACAUAUUAAACAUAGGGUCCUUAACACUAAUAUACAACAAUUAGAAAGUAUUUACAAAAAUAACGCAACAUAAUAUUAGGCUUGCUAAAAUUACGGAUCUUUUUUCUCCCUACACGUCAGUUACCGACUCUCUCAUCUCCAACCGCUCCUAGAAUCAAGCGACUGAACAUAACAUUCAUUUUGAAAUCGGAGAAAUCCAAAUCUUCUGUCACGACACACAUCUGAGAUCGGAGAAGACAGAAAUUUUUCUCGCGACGACACUCUGAGAUCGCAAAAUAGCAUACAAUAUCACAUCAACUUCGAUACAAAACUGAAUACAGAGGUAUGUGAGUUUAAAAUUGCUGUACAUAUAGUUUCUUAUGGUUACUACGAAUUCCUAUAUUGAUUACCUUUCUUAAGUUUUUCACACUUAAAAUGGUUACUACGAAUUCUUAUAACGAUUGCUUGAUUCACUGAUAUGUUUUAUUUAUAUUAUGGUUACUAAAUAGAUAUAAAUUGGUUACUAUUUAUUGGGUAUUUGUUUGCUAAAUAAUGUUUAUUUGAUUACUUUAUAAAUUUUAAAUGAGUUCUACUGAUUUUUUUAUAUUAAUGGUUACUAAUCAAAUACAUUGGUUACCUUCCUGCAACUGUUGGUUACUGUCUAAUGUUGUAUUGGUUACUGAAUAACAUUAUACUGCCUAAUGCUUUUUUGGUUACUGUAUAACAAUAUAUUGGUUACUGACUAAUGCUGACUCGGUUACUGUAUAACAUUAUAAUGGUUACUGACUAAUGUUGUCUUGGUUACUGUGUAAAAUUAUAGUGCUGACUUGGUUACUGUGUAAAAUUAUUUAGUGACUAAUGCUGACUUGGUUACUGACUAAUGCUGACUUGGUUACUGACUAAUGCAAACUUACUUACUGCAGAGAUUAAUUGGUUACUGUAAUAUUGGUUGCUGAAGCAUAUUAAUGUACACUUCUACUUAUAUUUUUUAUAUUAAUGGUUACUUGUUAUCUACAUUGGUUACAUUCUUACAAAAGUUUGCCUUUAGUUGGUAACAAAUAAAUUAUACUGAUUGUUUUUUACUAUAAAAAUACAAUGCAUGAUGUAUUUAUCUUGUGGUUACUAAAUAAAUAUGUGUUGGUUACAAUUUAAAAUGAUUUUGGUUACUGUAUAAUGUUGUCAUGAUUAAUGUAUAAUGUUGUCAUUAUUUUUGUUUGUUUUAAUAUGAUGGUUACUUAUUGGCUACAUUGGUUACCUGCAUACAAUUGUUAUAAUUUAAUUGGUAAUAAAUAUCAAUAUAUUGAUUAUUUCUAUUAUAAAAUGAAUGUACAAAUGUGUUUUAUGUUCUGGAUACCAACAUCAUGUAGUUUGGUUACUAGCUAACAUUGAUUUGGUUACUUUACAAUACUUAUUCUGUUGUCAGACAAUGGAGAUGAUUCCAGUUGUAC
RNAcentral lists this long non-coding RNA (7260 nucleotides) under Panax ginseng (ginseng). RNAcentral describes it as "long non-coding RNA (PGIN_LNC004515)". The record is from RNAcentral. Lineage: Eukaryota; Viridiplantae; Streptophyta; Magnoliopsida; Apiales; Araliaceae.